GCAGUCGAGCGAACAGACGAGGAGCUUGCUCCUCUGACGUUAGCGGCGGACGGGUGAGUAACACGUGGAUAACCUACCUAUAAGACUGGGAUAACUUCGGGAAACCGGAGCUAAUACCGGAUAAUAUAUUGAACCGCAUGGUUCAAUAGUGAAAGACGGUUUUGCUGUCACUUAUAGAUGGAUCCGCGCCGCAUUAGCUAGUUGGUAAGGUAACGGCUUACCAAGGCAACGAUGCGUAGCCGACCUGAGAGGGUGAUCGGCCACACUGGAACUGAGACACGGUCCAGACUCCUACGGGAGGCAGCAGUAGGGAAUCUUCCGCAAUGGGCGAAAGCCUGACGGAGCAACGCCGCGUGAGUGAUGAAGGUCUUCGGAUCGUAAAACUCUGUUAUUAGGGAAGAACAAAUGUGUAAGUAACUAUGCACGUCUUGACGGUACCUAAUCAGAAAGCCACGGCUAACUACGUGCCAGCAGCCGCGGUAAUACGUAGGUGGCAAGCGUUAUCCGGAAUUAUUGGGCGUAAAGCGCGCGUAGGCGGUUUUUUAAGUCUGAUGUGAAAGCCCACGGCUCAACCGUGGAGGGUCAUUGGAAACUGGAAAACUUGAGUGCAGAAGAGGAAAGUGGAAUUCCAUGUGUA
RNAcentral lists this ribosomal RNA (637 nucleotides) under Staphylococcus epidermidis. RNAcentral describes it as "bacterial SSU rRNA". It matches the Rfam family "Bacterial small subunit ribosomal RNA", at positions 57 to 677 of the family's 1533-position model. The record is from RNAcentral. Lineage: Bacteria; Bacillati; Bacillota; Bacilli; Caryophanales; Staphylococcaceae.